RNAcentral lists this ribosomal RNA (2902 nucleotides) under Escherichia coli. Its description in RNAcentral is "bacterial LSU rRNA". It matches the Rfam family "Bacterial large subunit ribosomal RNA". The record is from RNAcentral. Lineage: Bacteria; Pseudomonadati; Pseudomonadota; Gammaproteobacteria; Enterobacterales; Enterobacteriaceae.
UUAAGCGACUAAGCGUACACGGUGGAUGCCCUGGCAGUCAGAGGCGAUGAAGGACGUGCUAAUCUGCGAUAAGCGUCGGUAAGGUGAUAUGAACCGUUAUAACCGGCGAUUUCCGAAUGGGGAAACCCAGUGUGUUUCGACACACUAUCAUUAACUGAAUCCAUAGGUUAAUGAGGCGAACCGGGGGAACUGAAACAUCUAAGUACCCCGAGGAAAAGAAAUCAACCGAGAUUCCCCCAGUAGCGGCGAGCGAACGGGGAGCAGCCCAGAGCCUGAAUCAGUGUGUGUGUUAGUGGAAGCGUCUGGAAAGGCGCGCGAUACAGGGUGACAGCCCCGUACACAAAAAUGCACAUGCUGUGAGCUCGAUGAGUAGGGCGGGACACGUGGUAUCCUGUCUGAAUAUGGGGGGACCAUCCUCCAAGGCUAAAUACUCCUGACUGACCGAUAGUGAACCAGUACCGUGAGGGAAAGGCGAAAAGAACCCCGGCGAGGGGAGUGAAAAAGAACCUGAAACCGUGUACGUACAAGCAGUGGGAGCACGCUUCGGCGUGUGACUGCGUACCUUUUGUAUAAUGGGUCAGCGACUUAUAUUCUGUAGCAAGGUUAACCGAAUAGGGGAGCCGAAGGGAAACCGAGUCUUAACUGGGCGUUAAGUUGCAGGGUAUAGACCCGAAACCCGGUGAUCUAGCCAUGGGCAGGUUGAAGGUUGGGUAACACUAACUGGAGGACCGAACCGACUAAUGUUGAAAAAUUAGCGGAUGACUUGUGGCUGGGGGUGAAAGGCCAAUCAAACCGGGAGAUAGCUGGUUCUCCCCGAAAGCUAUUUAGGUAGCGCCUCGUGAAUUCAUCUCCGGGGGUAGAGCACUGUUUCGGCAAGGGGGUCAUCCCGACUUACCAACCCGAUGCAAACUGCGAAUACCGGAGAAUGUUAUCACGGGAGACACACGGCGGGUGCUAACGUCCGUCGUGAAGAGGGAAACAACCCAGACCGCCAGCUAAGGUCCCAAAGUCAUGGUUAAGUGGGAAACGAUGUGGGAAGGCCCAGACAGCCAGGAUGUUGGCUUAGAAGCAGCCAUCAUUUAAAGAAAGCGUAAUAGCUCACUGGUCGAGUCGGCCUGCGCGGAAGAUGUAACGGGGCUAAACCAUGCACCGAAGCUGCGGCAGCGACGCUGAUGCGUUGUUGGGUAGGGGAGCGUUCUGUAAGCCUGCGAAGGUGUGCUGUGAGGCAUGCUGGAGGUAUCAGAAGUGCGAAUGCUGACAUAAGUAACGAUAAAGCGGGUGAAAAGCCCGCUCGCCGGAAGACCAAGGGUUCCUGUCCAACGUUAAUCGGGGCAGGGUGAGUCGACCCCUAAGGCGAGGCCGAAAGGCGUAGUCGAUGGGAAACAGGUUAAUAUUCCUGUACUUGGUGUUACUGCGAAGGGGGGACGGAGAAGGCUAUGUUGGCCGGGCGACGGUUGUCCCGGUUUAAGCGUGUAGGCUGGUUUUCCAGGCAAAUCCGGAAAAUCAAGGCUGAGGCGUGAUGACGAGGCACUACGGUGCUGAAGCAACAAAUGCCCUGCUUCCAGGAAAAGCCUCUAAGCAUCAGGUAACAUCAAAUCGUACCCCAAACCGACACAGGUGGUCAGGUAGAGAAUACCAAGGCGCUUGAGAGAACUCGGGUGAAGGAACUAGGCAAAAUGGUGCCGUAACUUCGGGAGAAGGCACGCUGAUAUGUAGGUGAAGCGACUUGCUCGUGGAGCUGAAAUCAGUCGAAGAUACCAGCUGGCUGCAACUGUUUAUUAAAAACACAGCACUGUGCAAACACGAAAGUGGACGUAUACGGUGUGACGCCUGCCCGGUGCCGGAAGGUUAAUUGAUGGGGUCAGCGCAAGCGAAGCUCUUGAUCGAAGCCCCGGUAAACGGCGGCCGUAACUAUAACGGUCCUAAGGUAGCGAAAUUCCUUGUCGGGUAAGUUCCGACCUGCACGAAUGGCGUAAUGAUGGCCAGGCUGUCUCCACCCGAGACUCAGUGAAAUUGAACUCGCUGUGAAGAUGCAGUGUACCCGCGGCAAGACGGAAAGACCCCGUGAACCUUUACUAUAGCUUGACACUGAACAUUGAGCCUUGAUGUGUAGGAUAGGUGGGAGGCUUUGAAGUGUGGACGCCAGUCUGCAUGGAGCCGACCUUGAAAUACCACCCUUUAAUGUUUGAUGUUCUAACGUUGACCCGUAAUCCGGGUUGCGGACAGUGUCUGGUGGGUAGUUUGACUGGGGCGGUCUCCUCCUAAAGAGUAACGGAGGAGCACGAAGGUUGGCUAAUCCUGGUCGGACAUCAGGAGGUUAGUGCAAUGGCAUAAGCCAGCUUGACUGCGAGCGUGACGGCGCGAGCAGGUGCGAAAGCAGGUCAUAGUGAUCCGGUGGUUCUGAAUGGAAGGGCCAUCGCUCAACGGAUAAAAGGUACUCCGGGGAUAACAGGCUGAUACCGCCCAAGAGUUCAUAUCGACGGCGGUGUUUGGCACCUCGAUGUCGGCUCAUCACAUCCUGGGGCUGAAGUAGGUCCCAAGGGUAUGGCUGUUCGCCAUUUAAAGUGGUACGCGAGCUGGGUUUAGAACGUCGUGAGACAGUUCGGUCCCUAUCUGCCGUGGGCGCUGGAGAACUGAGGGGGGCUGCUCCUAGUACGAGAGGACCGGAGUGGACGCAUCACUGGUGUUCGGGUUGUCAUGCCAAUGGCACUGCCCGGUAGCUAAAUGCGGAAGAGAUAAGUGCUGAAAGCAUCUAAGCACGAAACUUGCCCCGAGAUGAGUUCUCCCUGACUCCUUGAGAGUCCUGAAGGAACGUUGAAGACGACGACGUUGAUAGGCCGGGUGUGUAAGCGCAGCGAUGCGUUGAGCUAACCGGUACUAAUGAACCGUGAGGCUUAACCUU